GGCUCCAUAGUGUAGUGGUUAACACGUCUGCAUUACACGUAGAAGGUCCUAGGUUCAUGCCCCAGGUGGAGCCA
RNAcentral lists this transfer RNA (74 nucleotides) under Pteropus alecto (black flying fox). It matches the Rfam family "tRNA". Rfam says of the family: Transfer RNA (tRNA) molecules are approximately 80 nucleotides in length. Lineage: Eukaryota; Metazoa; Chordata; Mammalia; Chiroptera; Pteropodidae. The record is from Rfam by way of RNAcentral.